CUGCCCGUAGCUCAGUUGGAUAGAGCAUCAGCCUUCUAAGCUGGCGGUCACAGGUUCGAAUCCUGUCGGGCAGGCCA
This 77-nucleotide transfer RNA is filed under the name Burkholderiaceae bacterium. Its description in RNAcentral is "tRNA-Arg". It matches the Rfam family "tRNA". From Rfam's summary of the family: Transfer RNA (tRNA) molecules are approximately 80 nucleotides in length. Their secondary structure includes four short double-helical elements and three loops (D, anti-codon, and T loops). The record is from RNAcentral. RNAcentral also lists the same sequence under 1 other name. Lineage: Bacteria; Pseudomonadati; Pseudomonadota; Betaproteobacteria; Burkholderiales; Burkholderiaceae.